GUUAAAGUGGCAGAGACCGGUAAUUGCAUAAACUUAAGCUUUUAAAACCAGAGUUCAACUCCUCUCUUUAACA
Molecule: transfer RNA, 73 nt
Filed under: Myotis lucifugus (little brown bat)
Lineage: Eukaryota; Metazoa; Chordata; Mammalia; Chiroptera; Vespertilionidae
Rfam family: tRNA
About the family: Transfer RNA (tRNA) molecules are approximately 80 nucleotides in length. Their secondary structure includes four short double-helical elements and three loops (D, anti-codon, and T loops). Further hydrogen bonds mediate the characteristic L-shaped molecular structure. tRNAs have two regions of fundamental functional importance: the anti-codon, which is responsible for specific mRNA codon recognition, and the 3' end, to which the tRNAs corresponding amino acid is attached (by aminoacyl-tRNA synthetases). tRNAs cope with the degeneracy of the genetic code in two manners: having more than one tRNA (with a specific anti-codon) for a particular amino acid; and 'wobble' base-pairing, i.e. permitting non-standard base-pairing at the 3rd anti-codon position.
Source: Rfam by way of RNAcentral